RNAcentral lists this ribosomal RNA (237 nucleotides) under Triticum aestivum (bread wheat). RNAcentral's name for it is "partial small subunit ribosomal RNA". Lineage: Eukaryota; Viridiplantae; Streptophyta; Magnoliopsida; Poales; Poaceae. The record is from RNAcentral.
AUGCCCAGCAAUAUCAUCAAUUCAACAAGCAGUUACUCAAAAUUCCAUCGCCCCAAAUGGCAUAGGAUACCUCGGGCGUCCAACUUCUGGCAUAAGUUUUUGUGCAUUCAAAAAUUUAGGAACCUGAACCACAAGGGCAAAUGGAAGGCACCUUUGAUCGGUAAUCCAGACUACAUGGAUGAUUCUUACACCUAUGCUUUUGAUAGGCUGAUGCACAUUGUCGUUGAGCCAAGGUAG